UGAGCAACCUGCCCUUCUCAUCGGAAUAAGCGUUGGAAACGACGUCUAAUGCCGAAUACGACCUCCUUUCGCAUGAUCGGAGGUGGAAAGCUCCGGCAGAGAAGGAUGAGCUCGCGGCCUAUCAGCUAGUUGGUGUGGGUAAUGGCCCACCAAGGCGACGACAGGUAGCCGGCCUGAGAGGGUGACCGGCCACACUGGGACUGAGACACGGCCCAGACUCCGUAGGGAGG
This 230-nucleotide ribosomal RNA is filed under the name uncultured bacterium. RNAcentral describes it as "partial 16S ribosomal RNA". It matches the Rfam family "Bacterial small subunit ribosomal RNA", at positions 118 to 348 of the family's 1533-position model. The record is from RNAcentral.